RNAcentral lists this ribosomal RNA (464 nucleotides) under uncultured Methanomicrobiales archaeon. Its description in RNAcentral is "bacterial SSU rRNA". It matches the Rfam family "Archaeal small subunit ribosomal RNA", at positions 876 to 1338 of the family's 1478-position model. Lineage: Archaea; Methanobacteriati; Methanobacteriota; Methanomicrobia; Methanomicrobiales. The record is from RNAcentral.
GCACCACAACAGGUGGAGCCUGCGGUUUAAUCGGACGUCAACGCCGGGAAACUCACCAGAUAAGACAGCUGAAUGAUAGUCGGGCUGAAGACUCUACUUGACUAGCUGAGAGGAGGUGCAUGGCCGUCGUCAGUUCGUACUGUGAAGCAUCCUGUUAAGUCAGGCAACGAGCGAGACCCACGCCAACAGUUGCCAGCUCGUCCUCCGGGAUGGUGGGGACACUGUUGGGACCGCCUCUGCUAAAGAGGAGGAAGGAAUGGGCAACGGUAGGUCAGCAUGCCCCGAAUUAUCUGGGCUACACGCGGGCUACAAUGGGUGGGACAAUGGGUAUCGACACCGAAAGGUGAAGGCAAUCUCCUAAACCCAUCCGUAGUUCGGAUUGUGGGCUGCAACUCGCCCACAUGAAGCUGGAAUCUGUAGUAAUCGUGUCUCAAAAUGGCACGGUGAAUAUGUCCCUGCUCCUU